GAUGAACGCUGGCGGCGUGCCUAAUACAUGCAAGUAGAACGCUGAAGGAAGGAGCUUGCUCUUUCCGGAUGAGUUGCGAACGGGUGAGUAACGCGUAGGUAACCUGCCUGGUAGCGGGGGAUAACUAUUGGAAACGAUAGCUAAUACCGCAUAACAGUAGAUGUUGCAUGAUAUCUACUUAAAAGGUGCAAUUGCACCACUACCAGAUGGACCUGCGUUGUAUUAGCUAGUUGGUGAGGUAACGGCUCACCAAGGCGACGAUACAUAGCCGACCUGAGAGGGUGAUCGGCCACACUGGGACUGAGACACGGCCCAGACUCCUACGGGAGGCAGCAGUAGGGAAUCUUCGGCAAGAGACGGAAGUCUGACCGAGCAACGCCGCGUGAGUGAAGAAGGUUUUCGGAUCGUAAAGCUCUGUUGUAAGAGAAGAACGAGUGUGAGAGUGGAAAGUUCACACUGUGACGGUAUCUUACCAGAAAGGGACGGCUAACUACGUG
Molecule: ribosomal RNA, 497 nt
Filed under: uncultured bacterium
Lineage: Bacteria
Description: partial 16S ribosomal RNA
Rfam family: Bacterial small subunit ribosomal RNA
Source: RNAcentral